AACGAACGCUGGCGGCAGGCCUAACACAUGCAAGUCGAACGCCCUAGCAAUAGGGAGUGGCAGACGGGUGAGUAACACGUGGGAACCUUCCCUAUAGUACGGAAUAUACCAGGGAAACUUGGAGCAAUACCGUAUACGCCCGAGAGGGGAAAGAUUUAUCGCUAUAGGAUGGGCCCGCGUAGGAUUAGCUAGUUGGUGAGGUAAUGGCUCACCAAGGCGACGAUCCUUAGCUGGUUUGAGAGAACGACCAGCCACACUGGGACUGAGACACGGCCCAGACUCCUACGGGAGGCAGCAGUGGGGAAUAUUGGACAAUGGGCGAAAGCCUGAUCCAGCCAUGCCGCGUGAGUGAAGAAGGCCUUAGGGUUGUAAAGCUCUUUCAGCGGGAAGAUAAUGACGGUACCCGCAGAAGAAGCCCCGGCUAACUUCGUGCCAGCCGCCGCCGUAA
This 448-nucleotide ribosomal RNA is filed under the name uncultured bacterium. RNAcentral's name for it is "bacterial SSU rRNA". It matches the Rfam family "Bacterial small subunit ribosomal RNA", at positions 29 to 523 of the family's 1533-position model. The record is from RNAcentral.